GGUUGUGGCUCAGUGGUAGAGCCCUCGCCUAGCAUGUGCAAGGCCUUGGGGUUCAAUCCUCAGCACCA
RNAcentral lists this transfer RNA (68 nucleotides) under Marmota monax (woodchuck). Its description in RNAcentral is "tRNA.Ala". The record is from RNAcentral. Lineage: Eukaryota; Metazoa; Chordata; Mammalia; Rodentia; Sciuridae.